CUUGGAGCUGCUCAGAUGACGACCGGCGCACGGGUGCGUAACGCGUAUACAAUCUACCUUGUACAGGGGGAUAGCCUUUAGAAAUGAAGAUUAAUACCCCAUAGUUUGUUCUAGUGGCAUCACUAGAACAAUAAAGGUUACGGUACAAGAUGAGUAUGCGUCCUAUUAGCUAGAUGGUGUGGUAACGGCACACCAUGGCAACGAUAGGUAGGGGCCCUGAGAGGGGGAUCCCCCGCACUGGUACUGAGACACGGACCAGACUCCUACGGGAGGCAGCAGUGAGGAAUAUUGGACAAUGGAGGGAACUCUGAUCCAGCCAUGCCGCGUGCAGGAAGACUGCCCUAUGGGUUGUAAACUGCUUUUAUACAGGAAGAAACACCCCGACGUGUCGGGGCUUGACGGUACUGUAAGAAUAAGGAUCGGCUAACUCCGUGCCAGCAGCCGCGGUAAUACGGAGGAUCCAAGCGUUAUCCGGAAUCAUUGGGUUUAAAGGGUCCGUAGGUGGAUAAUUAAGUCAGAGGUGAAAGUUUGCGGCUCAACCGUAAAAUUGCCUUUGAUACUGUUUAUCUUGAAUUAUUGUGAAGUAGUUAGAAUAUGUAGUGUAGCGGUGAAAUGCAUAGAUAUUACAUAGAAUACCAAUUGCGAAGGCAGAUUACUAACAAUGUAUUGACACUGAUGGACGAAAGCGUAGGUAGCGAACGGGAUUAGAUACCCCGGUAGUCUACGCCGUAAACGAUGGAUACUAGCUGUUGGGCUUCGGUUCAGUGGCUAAGCGAAAGUGAUAAGUAUCCCACCUGGGGAGUACGUUCGCAAGAAUGAAACUCAAAGGAAUUGACGGGGGCCCGCACAAGCGGUGGAGCAUGUGGUUUAAUUCGAUGAUACGCGAGGAACCUUACCAGGGCUUAAAUGUAGAGUGACAGACUGAGAGAUCGGUUUUUCUUCGGACACUUUACAAGUGCUGCAUGGUUGUCGUCAGCUCGUGCCGUG
This 987-nucleotide ribosomal RNA is filed under the name uncultured bacterium. Its description in RNAcentral is "bacterial SSU rRNA". It matches the Rfam family "Bacterial small subunit ribosomal RNA", at positions 73 to 1069 of the family's 1533-position model. The record is from RNAcentral.